Molecule: ribosomal RNA, 468 nt
Filed under: uncultured bacterium
Lineage: Bacteria
Description: partial 16S ribosomal RNA
Rfam family: Bacterial small subunit ribosomal RNA
Source: RNAcentral
GACGAACGCUGGCGGCGUGCUUAACACAUGCAAGUCGAACGGAAAGGCCCUGCUUUUGUGGGGUGCUCGAGCGGCGAACGGGUGAGUAACACGUGAGUAACCUGCCCUUGACUUUGGGAUAACUUCAGGAAACUGGGGCUAAUACCGGAUAGGAGCUCCUGCUGCAUGGUGGGGGUUGGAAAGUUUCGGCGGCUGGGGAUGGACUCGCGGCUUAUCAGCUUGUUGGUGGGGUAGUGGCUUACCAAGGCUUUGACGGGUAGCCGGCCUGAGAGGGUGACCGGCCACAUUGGGACUGAGAUACGGCCCAGACUCCUACGGGAGGCAGCAGUGGGGAAUAUUGCACAAUGGGCGGAAGCCUGAUGCAGCAACGCCGCGUGCGGGAUGACGGCCUUCGGGUUGUAAACCGCUUUCGCCUGUGACGAAGCGUGAGUGACGGUAAUGGGUAAAGAAGCACCGGCUAACUACGUG